GCCUGCCUGGCUCAGUAGGCAGAGCAUGAGACUCUGAUCUUGUGGUUGUGAGUUCGAUCCCCAUGUUAGGCA
RNAcentral lists this transfer RNA (72 nucleotides) under Ailuropoda melanoleuca (giant panda). It matches the Rfam family "tRNA". Rfam says of the family: Transfer RNA (tRNA) molecules are approximately 80 nucleotides in length. Their secondary structure includes four short double-helical elements and three loops (D, anti-codon, and T loops). Lineage: Eukaryota; Metazoa; Chordata; Mammalia; Carnivora; Ursidae. The record is from Rfam by way of RNAcentral.